GCUCAACGUCAAGUACAAGUAAAAAAAAAUCUUGGACCACGUCCGCCAUGGUGCCGAGAAGACAGUUGAGAUGUUGGUGAAAUUCAAGCUCUUUGUGAGUUGACUGAGAAGAUUGCUGAAGGAUCUUAAAUGGAAGCUGGCUGAUUAUAUUGAGUGAUUCCUUUGGUGUGGUGUACCUCAGAGAAAUAAACACUGUGGCAAGAGCUGAGAAGAUGACCAAGAUAUCCUUAUGGCUGGAUGGUAGCUCUCUGGUCGUGAGGUGAGCCCCCUUGAUGGACCAUGUCUGCAAAUGCUUUGACGGAAUUUCUAAAGGCCAUUGACACCAGAGCUGGAAUUAUCCUCCUGCCAAGACUAUUCCAGGAGAAGGCCGAGAACCUGAUUUUAUGGGAGAGGGCGAGCCAAACACCCCUUACCCAACUAUCAGCAUGAAGGCACAGGACUGGAGAGCUACGAUUGCCGGGAAUGCUGAAAGUAUCGUUGUAGUUGACAGGCUUCGAGUGUGUUCCCUGAUUGGUGUUGAAGAGGCAUUCAUCGCGACAUUCUGUAUGUACUUUGUUUACAACAUGGACCAACAGAACCUUUACACAAAUGGAUUAAGCACAUUGGACUUUUACAUGCCCAUGAACCUGAUUUCAGCAUCACAUGUGGACUGAAACUGUGAAUCGUCUUUUUCAAAGUACCAUUCCUUCAGCGUGUUUACAGGCAACACACAAGCAGCCUUUUCCUUUAUUUUCAGAAUUCAUGCUGCCCGUUCACUAAUGUCACCUUUUUCAUGAGUACUUACCACCAGCAUCAAAUUCUAAGUAUUCAUUAUAUCUGGAAAAA
Long non-coding RNA from Engraulis encrasicolus (European anchovy), 825 nucleotides. RefSeq lists it as uncharacterized. The transcript is spliced from 5 exons. Lineage: Eukaryota; Metazoa; Chordata; Actinopteri; Clupeiformes; Engraulidae. The record is from RefSeq and is a predicted model, not a curated record.